CUUUAUGGUGGUCAUGCGUAGGGCGUCCUCGGGCGCGCCGGGUGCCAGAUGACCGGUCUACCAACCUUCGUAUGGCCACCACCCUU
Molecule: non-coding RNA, 86 nt
Filed under: Pseudomonas fluorescens
Lineage: Bacteria; Pseudomonadati; Pseudomonadota; Gammaproteobacteria; Pseudomonadales; Pseudomonadaceae
Also listed under: 3 other names
Source: RNAcentral